RNAcentral lists this ribosomal RNA (843 nucleotides) under Patellariopsis atrovinosa. Its description in RNAcentral is "partial large subunit ribosomal RNA". It matches the Rfam family "Eukaryotic large subunit ribosomal RNA", at positions 74 to 937 of the family's 3401-position model. The record is from RNAcentral. Lineage: Eukaryota; Fungi; Ascomycota; Leotiomycetes; Helotiales.
AUUGCCUCAGUAACGGCGAGUGAAGCGGCAACAGCUCAAAUUUGAAAUCUGGCUCUCGGGUCCGAAUUGUAAUUUGUAGAAGAUGCUUUGGGCGUGGCUCCGGUCUAAGUUCCUUGGAACAGGACGUCAUAGAGGGUGAGAAUCCCGUAUGUGACUGGGUGCUUUCGUCCGUGUAAAGCUCUUUCGACGAGUCGAGUUGUUUGGGAAUGCAGCUCAAAAUGGGUGGUAAAUUUCAUCUAAAGCUAAAUAUUGGCCAGAGACCGAUAGCGCACAAGUAGAGUGAUCGAAAGAUGAAAAGCACUUUGGAAAGAGAGUUAAACAGUACGUGAAAUUGUUGAAAGGGAAGCGCUUGCAACCAGACUUGCACGCUGUCGAUCAUCCGGGGUUCUCCCCGGUGCACUCGACUGUGUUCAGGCCAGCAUCGGUUCGAGUGGUGGGAUAAAGGCCUUGGGAAUGUAGCUCCUUUCGGGGAGUGUUAUAGCCCUCGGUGCAAUGCCGCCUACCCGGACCGAGGACCGCGCUUCGGCUAGGAUGCUGGCGUAAUGGUUGUAAGCGACCCGUCUUGAAACACGGACCAAGGAGUCUAACAUCUAUGCGAGUGUUUGGGUGUCAAACCCAUGCGCGUAAUGAAAGUGAACGGAGGUGAGAACCCUUUAGGGUGCAUCAUCGACCGAUCCUGAUGUCUUCGGAUGGAUUUGAGUAAGAGCAUAGCUGUUGGGACCCGAAAGAUGGUGAACUAUGCGUGAAUAGGGUGAAGCCAGAGGAAACUCUGGUGGAGGCUCGCAGCGGUUCUGACGUGCAAAUCGAUCGUCAAAUUUGCGUAUAGGGGCGAAAGACUAAUCG